Molecule: ribosomal RNA, 662 nt
Filed under: uncultured cyanobacterium
Lineage: Bacteria; Bacillati; Cyanobacteriota
Description: bacterial SSU rRNA
Rfam family: Bacterial small subunit ribosomal RNA
Source: RNAcentral
CGGACGGGUGAGUAACGCGUGAGAAUCUGCCCUCAGGAGGAGGAUAACGGUUGGAAACGGCCGCUAAUACCCCAUAUGCCGAGAGGUGAAAUGAAUUUCGCCUGAGGAUGAGCCCGCGUCUGAUUAGCUAGUUGGUGAGGUAAGAGCUCACCAAGGCAUCGAUCAGUAGCUGGUCUGAGAGGAUGAUCAGCCACACUGGGACUGAGACACGGCCCAGACUCCUACGGGAGGCAGCAGUGGGGAAUUUUCCGCAAUGGGCGAAAGCCUGACGGAGCCACGCCGCGUGAGGGAUGAAGGCCUCUGGGCUGUAAACCUCUUUUAUCAAGGAAGAAGAUCUGACGGUACUUGAUGAAUAAGCCACGGCUAAUUCCGUGCCAGCAGCCGCGGUAAUACGGGAGUGGCAAGCGUUAUCCGGAAUUAUUGGGCGUAAAGCGUCCGCAGGCGGCCCAACAAGUCUGCUGUUAAAAAGUGGAGCUUAACUCCAUCAUGGCAGUGGAAACUGUUGGGCUCGAGUGUGGUAGGGGCAGAGGGAAUUCCUGGUGUAGCGGUGAAAUGCGUAGAUAUCGGGAAGAACACCAGUGGCGAAGGCGCUCUGCUGGGCCAUCACUGACGCUCAUGGACGAAAGCCAGGGGAGCGAAAGGGAUUAGAUACCCCUGUAGUC